Molecule: ribosomal RNA, 301 nt
Filed under: uncultured bacterium
Lineage: Bacteria
Description: partial 16S ribosomal RNA
Rfam family: Bacterial small subunit ribosomal RNA
Source: RNAcentral
CAGCAGCCGCGGGAAUACGUAGGUGGCAAGCGUUGUCCGGAAUUAUUGGGCGUAAAGGGCUCGCAGGCGGUUUCUUAAGUCUGAUGUGAAAGCCCCCGGCUCAACCGGGGAGGGUCAUUGGAAACUGGGAAACUUGAGUGCAGAAGAGGAGAGUGGAAUUCCACGUGUAGCGGUGAAAUGCGUAGAGAUGUGGAGGAGCACCAGUGGCGAAGGCGACUCUCUGGUCUGUAACUGACGCUGAGGAGCGAAAGCGUGGGGAGCGAACAGGAUUAGAUACCCGAGUAGUCCCUGUCUCUUAUAC